UCCGCCGGAUAUCUAUCGGGUAAUUACCCAUCAGAUUAAAAAUACUUUUUAGGUAUACCGAAAACCCGAUCUAUAGUGUAACUAUUAUUAAUUUGAUGUUUCCCCAAAAAGAAAGGGUUCAGUGGGUUCAGUGGUAUAAAUUAUUUAGAAAUAGCUAUUAAACAUAUGUUUCAAGUUUUAGAGUAAAAUAUUUAUACAAAUGUCUGGUAUAUUUUAGACAGCCGUCACGUAUAUAAUUAAAAUGCUCUCAUGUCAAUCUUUAUAACGUGGCAAAAAGAAGCCAUUCCAAUUCCAAACAUACAUGUAACUUCCAAAAACCAAUAUCACGUAGUACCCGUUAUGAAACUUAUGUGCCAUAUUUAUGUAACUUUUUAACACAAAUGGAAUUUUGAGACAACUAGAUUGCAGCAAAGUUAGUUGUACCAUAUUAACUGUGAAGUUGUUCUAACUAGUCCGGAUUUCAAAACAAUAAGUAUUACAGAAGGUAAAACUGGUUAAAAUUUUCUGGAAUUGAAUCAACUGUCACAGAACCAAAAACCAAACACAUACAAUAAGAAGCAUACAUGAGUAUUGACCUCCCAAAGGGAGAACAAGAUUCUUAAAAAGUAACAAAAUGUUUCAAAAUCUCAAAAUAUUACCAAAUUCAGCCUAGUUCAUUCUCUGAGCAGCCUCUUUGGCAAGAACUCUCUCUUUUGCCUUGGUCUUUGCUUGUGAUUUUGAUCCCAUUAUUCCACCACCCCACUUCUUCCUGUACUCUUCAUACUUGUCAUUGAAGUUUGCCUAAAACAUCAAAAUAACAAAAAGAAUAAUUUUAAAUCAACCAUAACUUUACAAUAAAUAAAAGUUUAUAUAAAAUCACUUGAGAUGUACCUUGACAGCCUCCAAAAUCCGGCUGAAUUCCAUUUUAUCUUCGUUCUUGACCGUAGUC
This 928-nucleotide long non-coding RNA is filed under the name Helianthus annuus (common sunflower). Its description in RNAcentral is "sRNA HanXRQr2_Chr05g0223681". The record is from RNAcentral. Lineage: Eukaryota; Viridiplantae; Streptophyta; Magnoliopsida; Asterales; Asteraceae.